Dreissena polymorpha is the source of this 893-nucleotide long non-coding RNA. RefSeq lists it as uncharacterized. The transcript has 4 exons. NCBI's taxonomy places the organism in Eukaryota, Metazoa, Mollusca, Bivalvia, Myida, Dreissenidae. The record is from RefSeq and is a predicted model, not a curated record.
ACAUUCUGUUUGGCGUGUUGUUUCAUCACGGCAUGUUACUCAUGUGAUCUCGAUUGCUCCACGGUGAAAUGUGCUGUCCCCAGUUGCAUCGACAAAUACACGCCGCCGCACCAGUGUUGUCCCAUUUGCAGGCCAAAACCAUGUUAUUACAAGGGACAAGUGUAUAUAGACGGACAGCAGUUUAAGGACGAUUGCAAUACGUGCACGUGUUCCAACGGAUUUGUGGGAUGUACAAAGAUUGGUUGCCAAGCUUAUCCUACAACUUGCACGGUAGACGGAGUCGUCUAUCCAGAAGGUGCUUCGCUGCUUUCGGGAUUAUGUGAAUCAUGUCGUUGUCAAGCCGGUGAAGCGAGGUGUAAACAAACUUCAUGCAGGGAUCAUGAAGAGAUGAUACAAUAGCUGUAACACUUUUGCCUCCUAAUCGCCAUUGAAUUCCCCCUGUCUGCCAAACGUAUCUUUUCUUGAAAUGCCAAUAUCUCCCACUGAGCUGAAAUUGACGAAACAACUCUCAAGUAGACAUGCCAAUGUUUUCUACAGAGGUGUCACUGGCAUAACAACUUUUCCUUUGACAUGCCGAUUUCUCUUCUAAGCUGCCAUUGAAUAAACAACUCUCCAACCAACAUGGCGAUAUUUCCUACUAAGCUCCCAUUUGCGAAACUACCCUCCACUUGAUAAGCCGCUUUUAUUCACUACAAGUCAUUGGCGUAAUGCCACUCUAGUUGUAUAACAACUCUCGUCUGGACGUAACGCUUUCAUUAACUGAACUGCCUUAAGCUACUUGCUUGCAAACAUAACAACCAAUAUGACCUUAGUAAUGAAUAUAAAUAUUGUCAAUUGAACGGCUUGAAGAAUAAAGCAAAAUAGUAUUAUUUAUAGUUGUGUUUAGCUUUCAA